RNAcentral lists this long non-coding RNA (2735 nucleotides) under Malus domestica (apple). RNAcentral describes it as "long non-coding RNA (MDOM_LNC020032)". The record is from RNAcentral. Lineage: Eukaryota; Viridiplantae; Streptophyta; Magnoliopsida; Rosales; Rosaceae.
CCUCUUAAUUCGAAAGAAAUAAGAAUGAAAAUCCUUAUGACUACAUUAAGUGUAUAUAUGAUAUAUACUCAAGGAAAUGGUAAAGUACCAUUUGACCCGAAAUAAUGAAACCUUCAUAAGCUAAUUGGUAGCUAAGGUAACUACAAUCAAAAGAAUGGUUGACUUUGAAGAAACCAUCUUUGACGUAGUCUUGGUUUCAAUUAAUUCGAAGAUAGCUAGCUACAACUAAAUGGUGAUUCAAUGUUUGAACAUAAUAUGGGUUUCCAAAACCAUUAUUAAGAUAGUCUUAAUAAUAUAUGUCUAAAACUAUGAAUCACAAGACAUGUAAUUUGUAGAGAUCCAUCCAUCAUGAAUCUAAGCAAGCUAGUGGGAGCUAUGAGCAUUUUAUGAGAAAAAGGAUCAAAUCGUUUGAUUUCUCAUAAAGAUGUAAAUGAAUCUUUUGUUUACUAGGUUUACAAAAGAUUAGUGGGAGUUAAUCAUAUUCCUAAAAUUUAACAUAUAUAUGAUAUAUUAAUUUUGGAAAUGAAAAGAAUUCUUCUUCGUUAAAGUUAUGACUUUAAAACAUUAUAUGAAGAUAGAAUGUAUAUGGGAGAUAUAGUUUAUAUACAUGGGAUGGAAAUCUAUAAUGAUAUAUUUCAUGAUAUAAUUGGAUUAUAUCAAGCCCUAAAUAUAGACAAAAGAUGAUAGGAAGUUUCUCAUAUGAUGAUGAACUUCAAUCAAAAUGACAACUCUAGUGAGACAAAGAAGUUGCUCUUCUCAAAGAGAACGUACUAUUUGACUCCCAAAGAAAUAAUGCGUAAAUAGAAUCCUUUAUGCGUAAGCAGAAAGGUGAUUUAUGUAUUUCAUAUUGUAUGAAAAACAUUGAUAUGAGUUGUACCUAGAAAGGUACAAGACGAUAUCAGUACAAACCCAGGAUCAGAACCAUGACAACUGCCAAGUGAGUCCUUAAGUAUUUAAGAAAUACUAAAGGAUAGAUUGCUCAAUAAUUGAGGAAGAAUUAGAGUAACGUAACGGAAGUGUAAAUGUAUUAGAUUAUGAAUCUAAUCCAUCAUUGGAUGUUUCUUCAUUAUGAAUGAAGAGAUAAACAGAUAUCUCUUUAUUAUGACUAAAGAGAUAUUUGGAUGGAAACAUUAAAGUAAUGACUUUAGUGUGUUCCAUUAUGAAUGCAAAGUAUAUUGCCAUAUAGAAGCUUACAACAAUGUUGUUUGGAUGGGAAAGUUCAUUUAUGAACUCUCUAUUCGGUUCCAACCAGAAAGUGUAUCUAGUGUAUCGACACUAUGACACUAAUGGGGCGAUAGCUCAAGCCAGGGAAUCAAGGUCUCAUCAAGAUCCGAACUCAUAUGAGAGACUGAACCACAUGAUUGAGAAUCAUGUAUAAUGGUGACGUCGUUAUUCUCAAGGUUGCUUCUAUGGAUAACAUAUAGAUAUCCAUUGUCUAGGCCUACUACUCAGCCAUUUAUAAAAUGACUACAGAAGAGGUAUCAUCACUGAUGACCAAGCUGAUUGGCUCUAGUGCAAUUGGGAGAUUGUUGGAAAUGUGGCCUAAAACCAAUCAUAUGAUGAUACUUUACGGACAUUUCACAAAGUUAAACUAAUGUAGUUUAAAUAUAAAGGGCAAAGAUUAUUGUUUGAGCCGUCUCAUAUAAAUGUUAUACGCUUAAACGAUAAGUCCAAGGAAUAUGUGAUUAGGAGAAUGCAAUCUAAAGAAGUUAGAUUCAUGAGACCAUUCUUUCGUAGACACAUCCUAAACGUUCCUGAUCAUAGGAUUGCCAAAUGGGCAUUGACAGUCCGUUAAGAUCAGUACGUGCUGUGUCUUCUCUCAGGAAGAGUGACUAGUCUCGAGUCAUUGGUGUGUGUGACAUCAAGACAAGUACGUAGGUGCUCAAUAGAGAAUGAGUUCAUUGAACACGAUCAACGAAGAGUUUUCAUAUUCAUGUCAUAUGAGAACUCAUGGUUGGGAUAAUGCAAAGUAGUCCUUUGACCUGAGGCAUCACAGUUGUCUUGUGGUUAAAUCCUUGAUCUUUGAUUAUGUCAAAGUCACCCCAUCCGCUGAUGCGAAAUAUAUAAGUACACAAAUUAAACCCUCUUUUUAUCAAAUGUAGUAAAGUAUGUAAGUAGGGAUCAUUCUAGGCCGGGGAUUAGGAGGGAUUGCUAAAUCACUUGGAAACUGACUUGAAAACGUAAAAACAAAGUUUAAAACACUAAACUAGACUCAAAGAAUGAAAAACUAUACUUUAAAAUACUAAGAUAAACAAAAAAAUUCAAAACAGCAACCAAAGACUCAAAAGUGCCUUAAAAACACUUUCUGGGCAGUUUUGGGACUCUAACACAAACUUGGACGAAUUUUGGUUUUCUAAUGAACUAAGACACUUAAAAACAUAAUCUAAGACAAGUUCUAAUUAAUAUGACUCAAAGAAAUAAGAUGGGGUUGAUUUUGGACGAAAAUAAUUAAAUUAAGACAAGAACAAAGUAAACAGAUUCUUAGACAAAUUUGGGUGAAUCAAAACACUUAAAAACACAAACUAAAGUGAUUACUAACUAAUCUAAUACUUUGAAAUAAAUGGGAGAUUGGUUCUUGAUGAAUUUGAAAAUAAAACAAACUUUGUAAAACAAAACAGAUUGUAAAUGAAUUUGAAGGAAACUUAUGGAUGGAAGGCUAGCUGGGAGGUUCUUCUCCACACAUGUCACACUUGCAUACAAAACGAUUUCCAGUUGCUUUUCGAUAAACUAUGAAU